This 323-nucleotide ribosomal RNA is filed under the name uncultured Euglyphida. RNAcentral's name for it is "SSU rRNA". The stretch from base 56 to 323 matches the Rfam family "Eukaryotic small subunit ribosomal RNA", at positions 686 to 955 of the family's 1831-position model. The record is from RNAcentral. Lineage: Eukaryota; Cercozoa; Imbricatea; Euglyphida.
GAUUUCUGGUUGAUCGGUCUGGCCCGCAUGCUUCGGUGUGUGAGUGCUGGAGUGUUUUAACCAUCCUUCUAGGGUGCCAUAUCUACUCUUUACUGAGCUGGGUAUGUGUGUUCUAGAUCGUUUACUUUGAAAAAAUUAGAGUGUUUAAAGCAGGCUGACGCUGUGAAUACAUUAGCAUGGAAUAAUAAUAUAGGACUUCGGUUUUAUUUUGUUGGUUUCUAGAGCUGAAGUAAUGAUUGAUAGGGAUAGUUGGGGGUGCUAGUAUUCCGUGGCCAGAGGUGAAAUUCUUGGAUUCACGGAAGACUAACUACUGCGAAAGCAUU